GAUGAACGCUGGCGGCGUGCCUAAUACAUGCAAGUCGAGCGAACAGAUGAGGAGCUUGCUCCUCUGACGUUAGCGGCGGACGGGUGAGUAACACGUGUAUAACCUACCUAUAAGACUGGGAUAACUUCGGGAAACCGGAGCUAAUACCGGAUAAUAUAUUGAACCGCAGUGUUGAAUAGUGAAAGACGGUGUUGCUGUCACUUAUAGAUGGAUCCGCGCCGCAUUAGCUAGUUGGUAAGUUAACGGCUUACCAAGGCAACGAUGCGUAGCCGACCUGAGAGGGUGAUCGGCCACACUGGAACUGAGCCACGGUCCAGACUCCUACGGGAGGCACCAGUAUGGAACCGUCCGCAAUGGUCGCAAGCCUGACGGAGCAGCGCCGAGUGAGUGAUGAAGGUCUUCGGAUCGUAAAACUCUGUUAUUAGGGAAGAACAAAUGUGUAAGUAACUAUGCACGUCUUGACGGUACCUAAUCAGAAAGCCACGGCUAACUACGUG
This 497-nucleotide ribosomal RNA is filed under the name uncultured bacterium. RNAcentral describes it as "partial 16S ribosomal RNA". It matches the Rfam family "Bacterial small subunit ribosomal RNA", at positions 28 to 507 of the family's 1533-position model. The record is from RNAcentral.